GCGCAGCAGUCGCGAAAACUUCACACUGUGCGAAAGCACGAUGAGGGAAUCCCAAGUGCUUGCACGUAAGUGUAAGCUGUUUCUCUGUCUAAAACGCAGAGAGAGUAAGGGCUGGGUAAGACGGGUGCCAGCCGCCGCGGUAAUACCUGCAGCUCAAGUGGUGACCGUUAUUAUUGGGCCUAAAACGUCCGUAGCCGGUUUAAUAAAUGCCUGGGUAAAUUGUGUAGCUUAACUAUACGAAUUCCGGGUAGACUGUUAAACUUGAGACCGGGAGAAGUUAGAGGUACUCCUGGGGUAGAGGUGAAAUUCUGUAAUCCUAGGGGGACCACCAGUGGCGAAGGCGUCUAACUAGAACGGGUCUGACGGUGAGGGACGAAGCCCUGGGGCGCAAAC
Molecule: ribosomal RNA, 393 nt
Filed under: uncultured microorganism
Description: bacterial SSU rRNA
Rfam family: Archaeal small subunit ribosomal RNA
Source: RNAcentral